CUAAAACUCGGGGCUCGCCAAGAUGCAACGCAUGUAAUUGCAAACUUGCAACGGCAACGAGUUAAUUCGCAACUAAUUGCUUCUCAGUAUCUACAAGAAAACUUGGAUCUUGUGGAUAUGCUCAUUUGCGGUUAUGACAAAGAGGGUGACGUUGCUUUGACGUAUGGCGCGGUUGCAAGGGAGUGCAUACGCCACCAGACUGUAGCGAAACAUGUGUUGGAAUCUGAUAACAUGAAGAAGUUCUUUGAGUACAUUCAACUACCAAAUUUUGAGAUAGCAUCCGAUGCUGUUGCAACUUUUAAAGAGUUAUUGACAAGACAUAAAUCUACAGUUGCUGAAUUUCUUUCAAAAAAUUAUGACUGGUUCUUCAAAGAUUACAACUCUCAGUUGCUUGAAUCCACCAGUUAUUUCACAAGACGGUACGCUAUUAAGUUAUUGGGGGAUAUGUUAUUGGAUCGCUCGAAUGCUGCUGUAAUGGUUCGGUAUGUGGGUUCAUUGGAUAAUAUGAGGAUCCUCAUGAACCUCCUAAGAGAUUCAAACAAGACAAUUCAAUUUGACACCUUCCACGUUUUCAAGCUAUUUGUUGCAAAUCAAAAUAAGCCCCCUGAAGUUGUGAGCAUCCUUGUCACAAACAAACACAAGCUUUUGCAAUUUUUGGAAAACUUCAAUUGCGACAAAGCGGACGACCAU
This 690-nucleotide small RNA is filed under the name Vigna angularis var. angularis. RNAcentral describes it as "Non-protein coding transcript". The record is from RNAcentral. Lineage: Eukaryota; Viridiplantae; Streptophyta; Magnoliopsida; Fabales; Fabaceae.